GAGAAAGACAUAGAGGCUAUGGGGUUGGCUUGAAACCAGUCUUAGGGGGUUCGAAUCCUUCCUUUCUUA
RNAcentral lists this transfer RNA (69 nucleotides) under Neohylomys hainanensis (Hainan gymnure). Its description in RNAcentral is "tRNA-Ser". It matches the Rfam family "tRNA". Rfam says of the family: Transfer RNA (tRNA) molecules are approximately 80 nucleotides in length. Their secondary structure includes four short double-helical elements and three loops (D, anti-codon, and T loops). Lineage: Eukaryota; Metazoa; Chordata; Mammalia; Eulipotyphla; Erinaceidae. The record is from RNAcentral.